GGAGUCUUUAUUUAGAAGAUUUCAUAUUGGAGUCUAUAUUUAGAAGAAUUCAUAUUGGAGUCUUUAUUUCGAAGAUAUCUUUAUUGAGAAGAUUUCAUAUUGGAGUCUUUAUUUCGAAGAUUUCAUAUUGAAAUCUUUAUUUAGAAGAUUUCAUAUUGGAAUCUCUAUUUAGAAGAUUUCAUAUUGGAGUCUUCAUGGUAGAAGAACUCAUUGUGGGGUCCUCAAGCAAAAGUAUUAAGCAUCUUGCUGAAGAAUUCAUGUUUGAAUUUUCAAGUUGUAGAAUUCGUAUUGGAGUCCUCAUGAAAAAUAAUGUGUGUUUAAAUCCUGAAAAACAUGACGGAAAUUAUAGUUGUGCUGCAUAAUUCAUGUGUUAGAAUUGCCAUGCAGAAAAAUCCAUUCUCAACUCUGAUGGAGAAAAAUUCUUUAUGGAAUCUUGAUGCAGUAGAAAAUAAUGUUUUGGUCUGGGGUAUUGAUGCAGAAGAAUUCAUAGCGGAGUCUCCAUUUAAAAGAAUUUAUAUUUAUUAUGGAGUCUUCAUGCAGAAGAUAAAAAAUUCAAGUCUUGGUGCUGAAAUUAAUGAAGCUUUGUAUAAUUUAUGUGCAUGCUGGGCAAAAUUAUAUUAUUAUAUUUGGAGUCUUUCUGCAGAAAAAUCUUCAAAAAAAAUCAUUUUGGACUCGUCAACCAGAAUAUUUCAUGCUGGAUAUAUUUCUUGUGUGCAACAAGUUCAUCUUGGAGUCUUUCGUGAGGAUAAUUCAUGUGAUAAUGGAAUCCUUAGGCUUUGUUUAAAAUACUAACACAAAGAACAAUGUUUACAUAGAUCUAUAACCAUUUUUUUUUUAAAUUGAAAAUUGAAUUCCAAAGACUAAAUUUGAAAUGACAUUUUGUGGUCGUUACAGAGAUCAGCGCUCCACAUCAAUAUUUUUUGUUUUUAAUAACCAAAGACAUGCUCUACUUAUGAACAGUUUCUAAGGUGAGGCAAGCUACUGCCCAAAAAUUGAUGAAACAGGACUACCAACAGUCUCGAUUGAAGUCAUCUUUUCGUAAGUUCUAUGGUCAAUACAAUGACCAUGUCAGCAAAUACAAUGGUCUACUGGGUUGCAUGCUGACUGACGUUUUUCAUACUUAUUGUUAGACCAUAAUUAAUCACCUUAUUGUCUGCGGCUUUUUUCCAUUUUUACCAAUUACGACAAAGAGCACACGGUGGGUGUGACCAGUCAGCAGAGGAUGCUCACUCCUCCUUGGCACCUGAUCCUACCUCUAAUUCUUUUAGUUAUGCUCCUGUAUUGUACUUUUACUUUUGAUUUUGAACACUGUUCAUUAUCACCACAUGUCAUUAUCAAAAACUUCCUCAAAGACUACAUUGAAAAUAACAUCUUGAAAACUCUAUAGAAAAUAAACUUUGAUUUAUCACAUGUUUCACUGAAUAUACAAUAAAUAUCACUCAUGUAAUAAUUUUUUUAUGUUACACUGUGUAUUCUUUCACAAUGUGAAGUCAUAGUUAAACAUUUAUAGGUAGAUUUAGGCAGUUGAUUGGCAUAAAAUAAAACAGUAAAAAAAAAGAUUUCAUUUGAAAAAUGUAGAGUUGUAAAUGUGAAGCAUUUAAUGCUGUUUUAUUUUUUCAUGAAUUGAUAAAAAUAUGUUCGAAAAUAAAAUGUUUGUUUGUUAAUCUUUAGAGGACUUUUUCUGUGUGUAAAGUUGUAAACUUCUUGUAAUGAUAUGUUGAGCAGCUCACAAUUGUAAUUUUUAUAGAAAAGAUUGGGGUUAACCAAGAGAAUGGUAAAGCAUGUGAUAAAAAGAAUCUCUUACCAAGACUUGGGGAUAGAAAACACAAGAGUUCGAUAAAAAUCAGAUACCAUAGAAAAUCAUAUGAGAGAUUCUAUAUGUAUCAACUGUUCUGAGUAUCUAGAAAAGGACUAUAAGUGGUAUUAUGCCUUUCAUGCCCCUAAAAUUAAAGUUCUAUGAAGAUCUUUUUAAAUAAGGUGAAAAAUAGUUGAAAUCAUAUUGAAAGUAAGUAUGUAAAAGGUUAUCACUGCAGUGAUGUCAUAGUGUAGAAAUGAUGUCAUGAAGAUUGUCUUAUUUUGAUAAAUUAGUGUUUGGAGCAUGUAUGAUGUGUAUAACUCAGUGAUGAUUCUUUUUCUGAUAUUUAGUUGAAUUCUGCUAAUUUGAAUCAAAGAAUCCGAUAUUUACAAGUAUUUCCGAUAUUCCAGUUCUUCCUUUUAUUUUGAUCAUUUCCGUUUGUGUCUGUUUCGAAAAAAAUUAAGUUGUUUUGUCCUUGAUUUUGUCUGCAUCAGCCAGACGUUUGCUUUUAUAUCCAAUUAAGGUAAACGCAAACGUAAGGGUGAUCGAGAAUUUUCAACAUGGCGCGGUUUAUCUAACCAUGCCAUGAUGUUAAAGUUGUAGACAAGAGUGUUUAAAACGCUUGGAAAUAGCAUUGUUUAUCGUGAGUUGUUGAAGACGAAAACUAUUUUGGGUUUACUAAAGCCUAAAUUUUGCUCCUCUACCCCUAGCCUAUUUCAGUUAUUUUAAACAAUUUACAGAAUCAUCACUGAUAACUACAUGAACGAAAACAAAUGUAAAAAUUGACUUUAGCACACUCUACAUGUACAUAUAAAGAAAAAAUUACAAUAUUUUCAUUUGUUUACAAAAUUGCAGGAAUUGGCUCAUUUAGAUGACGUCUUAGAUAAACAGCUAUUGAGCAAUGAUGAAUAAUAUCAAGAUUAAAGUGAUAGGUAUCCUCUGUAUGAUGUUUUAUGACUAUAUGAUUUUUAUAAGAUACAUGCACUGUUUCAAAAUAGGUUAAAAUUGGGGGCAGAUUAUUUGACCAAAUCAUAUAUAAUAUUUAUUUUUUUUUUUUUUUGCAUCAUAAAAAAAGGUAAUUUUUAUUCUAUGUUAUAUGAAUUAUACUGUAUAAGGUUGAUCCAAAUGUAAUGUCACAGAAACCAUAUUUCUUGCAGAUGACCAGGAGACAGAUGGUCAGGAGAAAAUAAAAUGCAGUUAUAGAGUCCUUGUCAAUGAAUUAACUGAUUUCACAGUCAAAUAUGCUUAAUGGAGUGACUGUUUGGAUAUGCAUGAUGCAACUUCCUGGGUGGUGCUGAGUCGAUCUGUUUGUCAACAUGUAAAACCCACAUGUAUUUGGGGGUUGGGGUUGUAUCCCUUGUUAAAUAUCAACAAUGGCGGAUGAACAAUGUGGUGCCCCUAUAGACUCACAAAGUUUCAGUGUUGAAUUUCCAUGACCCCGAUUGAGUGGAGACAGGAAAAGGAAUGAAGAUGGCAGGACUUUCUGCACUGCACUUGGUAGCAGCUGAUGAUGGAACCGACAGCUGUCGACAGGGCUCAAUUAAUUAAAGAUGCACCAGAAGCAGCAGCACCGUCUCCAUCACUGGUGAAAUGGGAAAUGUUGAGUGGAUGGCCGAAACUAUGCAGCUCACCGAUGCUUAGCACAGCCCAUCUCUUACAUCUCCAAUGGUGGUCUCUGGAGGAAAGGUUGCAGUGCAGUCUUCAUGUCCUCAGCAGGAAUGUUGAUGGCUGAUGCUGGAUCGAUGUUUGCGCCAAGAAGCAUACCAUGCAUACUCUAAAAAACAUUGCUUCGAGUUGCAGCGAGUUUUUUUCCCACUAUCCCAAAUGGAAAAAGGAGUAGCUUUAAGACAUUUAUAGACUUUAUGGUGUUUCAAAAAGUGGUCCCAAACAUAAUGGUUAAAAAACUACCAUGCGCAUUCCCAGGUCUUAGUUCUCAACAAAUAACAGGAUAACUUAUCGUUUGUGUUACCAUGAUAUGAUUCCAAAUUGAUUACUUGGAAACUAUCAUGUCCGUUACCAUGCUAUGAUACCUGACAGGACUGGACAACUUAAUGUGUCUUGUACCAUACAGUGAUUCCCAACAAAUUGAUGGACAAUAUACUACAAGUUUGAGUCUGUUAGAUUUGUUCUAAGCUUUGAAUUCCAUUGUAUAACCUUGAUAAAAAGUUUUAAGCUCAGCUGAACCUGAGGCUCAAGUGAGCUUUUCGGAACAAAAUUUGUCUGUUAUCUGUCGUUGUUGUUUGUGGUAGUGGUAAACUUUUCACAUUUGAAAUCAUCUUCCGCGUCAGUGGGUGAUGUUAAAAAAUUUUCUUCAAUGUUCGCUACCUUUAUAACCCACAUGAAUCAUCAAAGAAAGCACAUUAUUGUUUAUAUUUACAUCUUUCUUUUAACAAAUUAUUAAAAUGAAAAUUCACUUAAUUACUGUUAAUGUACAUCAGUACGUUACCUAAAAGAAACAGCCGAAUCGUCUCCUUUGGGAAUUUGAGUCCAACAUUAUCAUGAUUAUUUCAUGCAGUCCAUUAUUUAUCUUAUGUUGCUGUAGUUUUUGACAUAGUUUUUAAACGGGGUAGAUUUCAGUCUGGCUGUUUCUAUAGAGCUAUGAAUAAAGUUUCCGUAAAAAAAAGAGGGAAUCAUACUCAGUCGAUGUAAAUAUUUAAGAAUAAUUACAAAUUUGUUGACAUUAUAUAAAAAUUUUAUUCUUAUAAUCCAUUUGUCCAGAAAAGCUAAUUUUUGUGUGGAAGCAUCCUAAGGUAGUGCAGAUUUGUGUUUAAAUCAUGAUCUGGAAGGGGGGGGUCAUAUCCUUACAAAGAAAUAUAUAGUAAAACAUUUUUAAAAAUCUUCUUCUCUAAAACCUAUUAGCCAGAAAAGUUUUAACUGAAGUGUAAGCAUCCUCAAGUAUUGUAUAUUCAAGUCUAUUCAAAUCCCAAGGGUAAGAUAUGGGCCAUAAUGCAGGAUUAAAUUUAACAUAGAAAUAUAAAGAGGAUAAUUAUUUAGAAUCUUUAUCUUUUAAAGGGCCUCAAUAUUAAAUGUUUAAUGUCCAAAAAAGGUGAAAAAAAUUAAACUAUACAUAUUUUUCUUACAAAAUAUUUUGAAAGAUAUUUUAUAUUUUACUUAUUACACUGUAUAUUAGUUGGCCAUUGUUGCUCGGGUGAGUGAUGUGGCCCUUAGGCCUCUUGUUUUGCAUUUUUGAUUCUUUUUAUAAUUUCUUUUUUGAAAAUUUUUGGUACAUCAUGAAGAAUAAAAUAAAAUGCUGUGUUUUCCAUU
Molecule: long non-coding RNA, 5059 nt
Organism: Magallana angulata
Lineage: Eukaryota; Metazoa; Mollusca; Bivalvia; Ostreida; Ostreidae
Exons: 8
Source: RefSeq, a predicted model, not a curated record